GAGAUUGCCUGGCAGCAUGUGUACUAAAACUGGAAUAAUACAGAUAAGAUUAACAUGGUCCUUACACAAGGAUAACAUGCAAAUUCUUCCCAUAUUUUU
This is a small nuclear RNA of Ursus americanus (American black bear), 99 nucleotides long. The record is from Ensembl. Lineage: Eukaryota; Metazoa; Chordata; Mammalia; Carnivora; Ursidae.